Molecule: ribosomal RNA, 454 nt
Filed under: uncultured bacterium
Lineage: Bacteria
Description: bacterial SSU rRNA
Rfam family: Bacterial small subunit ribosomal RNA
Source: RNAcentral
UACGGGAGGCAGCAGUGGGGAAUAUUGCACAAUGGGCGAAAGCCUGAUGCAGCUAUGCCGCGUGUAUGAAGAAGGCCUUAGGGUUGUAAAGUACUUUCAUCGGGGAGGAAAAAACAAAACUAAUAAUUUUAUUUCUUGACGUUACCCGAAAAAGAAGCACCGGCUAACUCCGUGCCAGCAGCCGCGGUAAUACGGAGGGUGCUAGCGUUAAUCAGAAUUACUGGGCGUAAAGAGCACGUAGGUGGUUUUUUUAAGUCAGAUGUGAAAUCCCUGGGCUUAACCUGGAACUGCAUUUUGAAACUGAAAUACUAGAGUAUCGUAGAGGGAGGUAGAAUUCUAGGUGUAGCGGUGAAAUGCGUAGAUAUCUGGAGGAAUACCUGUGGCGAAAGCGGCCUCUAAACGAAUACUGACACUGAGGUGCGAAAGCGUGGGGAGCAAACAGGGAUUAGAUACC